RNAcentral lists this transfer RNA (71 nucleotides) under Candidatus Omnitrophica bacterium CG11_big_fil_rev_8_21_14_0_20_64_10. RNAcentral describes it as "tRNA-Gly". It matches the Rfam family "tRNA". From Rfam's summary of the family: Transfer RNA (tRNA) molecules are approximately 80 nucleotides in length. Their secondary structure includes four short double-helical elements and three loops (D, anti-codon, and T loops). Further hydrogen bonds mediate the characteristic L-shaped molecular structure. tRNAs have two regions of fundamental functional importance: the anti-codon, which is responsible for specific mRNA codon recognition, and the 3' end, to which the tRNAs corresponding amino acid is attached (by aminoacyl-tRNA synthetases). tRNAs cope with the degeneracy of the genetic code in two manners: having more than one tRNA (with a specific anti-codon) for a particular amino acid; and 'wobble' base-pairing, i.e. permitting non-standard base-pairing at the 3rd anti-codon position. The record is from RNAcentral. Lineage: Bacteria; Pseudomonadati; Candidatus Omnitrophota.
GCGGGUGUAGUUCAGUGGUAGAACAUCAGCUUCCCAAGCUGAGAAUGGGGGUUCGAUUCCCCCCACCCGCU